AGUCUGCCCGGCGGUGACGCGGGGAGGCGGGAGCGGGAGGCGGCGCUGCGUCACCCGGUCUUGGUCUCCUGGCGGCUAGCAAGAGUCCUGCAGAUAUUGGUUGCGUGAUAGCAUCUGUUCACAUCUGACCAAGGAAGAGUCUCCUCGGAGAUGCUAACUGGUCCAAGAGUGCAGGGCUCUGUGGUGUGACAGAGCUAAGCCUCACAGCGGAGUCAGCUUUCAAGAAGACAGGAGAGCCUUCUGCCCUCCCCCUCAGCUCUCCUGCUGUUGCAGACUGGGGUGGAGCUGGCCAAGUCUACCUUGCCUGUGCCUGGUACCAGAGGGCUAAGGUACAGGUCUGAUCCUGUCGGUGCCCUGUGUCCAUCUGCAGGGCAGGGACAACCAUGAAUCACUUGCUUCCUGGAAGCCCAGCCCAAUGGUAGGCUCCCUGACAGCCCUGGAGUGUUGGUUAGGCCCAGGCAGAAUCCUAGCCCCACCCUGGAGCAAGCUGGACCUGACCUAGCUCAGUUGUUAGUUGAAGCAAUGGCUGUCCCAGCUCUUUCCUUUCACGGCUAUCGGGAUGAGGCUUGGGGAAUGUGGACAUGAAACUUCUUCAGAAACCUCUUGCCAUUGCUGAUGAUGCUGCCUCUGUUACUGGU
Molecule: long non-coding RNA, 638 nt
Filed under: Mus musculus (house mouse)
Lineage: Eukaryota; Metazoa; Chordata; Mammalia; Rodentia; Muridae
Description: predicted gene 15569 (Gm15569)
Source: RNAcentral